Molecule: transfer RNA, 69 nt
Filed under: Bigelowiella natans
Lineage: Eukaryota; Cercozoa; Chlorarachniophyceae
Source: RNAcentral
UGCUUUAUUGCAUGUAAAAAUGAAAAAAUACCGUUAAAUUUGUAUGAUUAUGGAAAAUUAUUCAAUAUU